Molecule: transfer RNA, 72 nt
Filed under: Ictidomys tridecemlineatus (thirteen-lined ground squirrel)
Lineage: Eukaryota; Metazoa; Chordata; Mammalia; Rodentia; Sciuridae
Description: Spermophilus tridecemlineatus (thirteen-lined ground squirrel) tRNA
Rfam family: tRNA
About the family: Transfer RNA (tRNA) molecules are approximately 80 nucleotides in length. Their secondary structure includes four short double-helical elements and three loops (D, anti-codon, and T loops). Further hydrogen bonds mediate the characteristic L-shaped molecular structure. tRNAs have two regions of fundamental functional importance: the anti-codon, which is responsible for specific mRNA codon recognition, and the 3' end, to which the tRNAs corresponding amino acid is attached (by aminoacyl-tRNA synthetases). tRNAs cope with the degeneracy of the genetic code in two manners: having more than one tRNA (with a specific anti-codon) for a particular amino acid; and 'wobble' base-pairing, i.e. permitting non-standard base-pairing at the 3rd anti-codon position.
Source: Rfam by way of RNAcentral
UGGGAUUUGGCUUAAUGGUAGAGUACUGGCCUAGUAUGCAUGAAGCCCUGGGUUUAAUCCCCAGCACCACAA